This 670-nucleotide long non-coding RNA is filed under the name Theobroma cacao (cacao). RNAcentral describes it as "long non-coding RNA (TCAC_LNC002051)". Lineage: Eukaryota; Viridiplantae; Streptophyta; Magnoliopsida; Malvales; Malvaceae. The record is from RNAcentral.
UAGGAUUUGAGUGCACCUCACGUUCAGGCCACCACGUGAGAGUGAGACUCAGCCAACGCCAAGGAACGGCUGUGUUGUCAGAGGUGAAAUGUGUUUGUGUGUGUGACAAUAAACAGCCUUGGCGGUCUCGGUAAGAUGCCUUCGCGGGGUAUCUCCGAGAAUAGAUUUUUGGCAAGGGCCAAGUUUUUGAAAAGUGCAUAAGCCAUGUUGAGUAAUUGAAUGAAAUCCAAUUAUUUAUAUGGGUUGGGAUGAAUUAUUUUAAUUGUCUCCUAUUACUCGGCUUUAGAUUAUUUUGAUGAUGUCUGUCUACUCACUGGGAUUAUGUAAUCAUAAUCUCACCCCUUUUCUUAUCCAUUUUUCAAGCUCAGGACAAUUUAUUGAUAGUUGAUUAAGACGAGAAUUAAUCUCGGAGUUGCAUCCUAGAAAGUAAGGGUUCAUAACCCUACAUCUUCUUAGUCAGUUGGGGGCUCACGUGUCACUGUAAAAGUAAUUUUAUUCUUCAGUUAUUUGAUUUAAAGUAUGUAUGAAUAUAUUUAGCUUUUACACCAUGUUUUUGGCGAGUUUCGAUAUUUUCGAAGAAAAAUGAUGAAAAUGCCCCUGUGAGCCAGAAAGUAAUAUUUUAUUGUUUUGAUUUGGAAAUGACUUAUGAUUUUUUUGAAAUGUGAGAUUU